GGCGGCAGGCCUAACACAUGCAAGUCGAGCGCACCCUUCGGGGUGAGCGGCGGACGGGUUAGUAACGCGUGGGAACGUACCCUUUUCUACGGAAUAGUCUCGGGAAACUGAGGGUAAUACCGUAUAAGCCCUUCGGGGGAAAGAUUUAUCGGUAAAGGAUCAGCCCGCGUUAGAUUAGAUAGUUGGUGGGGUAAUGGCCUACCAAGUCUACGAUCUAUAGCUGGUUUUAGAGGAUGAUCAGCGACACUGGGACUGAGACACGGCCCAGACUCCUACGGGAGGCAGCAGUGGGGAAUCUUGGACAAUGGGCGCAAGCCUGAUCCAGCCAUGCCGCGUGUGUGAUGAAGGCCUUAGGGUCGUAAAGCACUUUCGCCAGGGAUGAUAAUGACAGUACCUGGUAAAGAAACCCCGGCUAACUCCGUGUCAGCAGCCGCGGUAAUAC
This 442-nucleotide ribosomal RNA is filed under the name uncultured bacterium. RNAcentral's name for it is "bacterial SSU rRNA". It matches the Rfam family "Bacterial small subunit ribosomal RNA", at positions 38 to 526 of the family's 1533-position model. The record is from RNAcentral.